RNAcentral lists this ribosomal RNA (945 nucleotides) under Ligilactobacillus ruminis. RNAcentral describes it as "bacterial SSU rRNA". It matches the Rfam family "Bacterial small subunit ribosomal RNA", at positions 56 to 968 of the family's 1533-position model. The record is from RNAcentral. Lineage: Bacteria; Bacillati; Bacillota; Bacilli; Lactobacillales; Lactobacillaceae.
UGCAAGUCGAACGAAGCUUUCUUUCACCGAAUGCUUGCAUUCACCGAAAGAAGCUUAGUGGCGAACGGGUGAGUAACACGUAGGCAACCUGCCCAAAAGAGGGGGAUAACACUUGGAAACAGGUGCUAAUACCGCAUAACCAUGAACACCGCAUGAUGUUCAUGUAAAAGACGGCUUUUGCUGUCACUUUUGGAUGGGCCUGCGGCGUAUUAACUUGUUGGUGGGGUAACGGCCUACCAAGGUGAUGAUACGUAGCCGAACUGAGAGGUUGAUCGGCCACAUUGGGACUGAGACACGGCCCAAACUCCUACGGGAGGCAGCAGUAGGGAAUCUUCCACAAUGGACGAAAGUCUGAUGGAGCAACGCCGCGUGAAUGAAGAAGGCCUUCGGGUCGUAAAAUUCUGUUGUCAGAGAAGAACGUGCGUGAGAGUAACUGUUCACGUAUUGACGGUAUCUGACCAGAAAGCCACGGCUAACUACGUGCCAGCAGCCGCGGUAAUACGUAGGUGGCGAGCGUUGUCCGGAUUUAUUGGGCGUAAAGGGAACGCAGGCGGUCUUUUAAGUCUGAUGUGAAAGCCUUCGGCUUAACCGAAGUAGUGCAUUGGAAACUGGAAGACUUGAGUGCAGAAGAGGAGAGUGGAACUCCAUGUGUAGCGGUGAAAUGCGUAGAUAUAUGGAAGAACACCAGUGGCGAAAGCGGCUCUCUGGUCUGUAACUGACGCUGAGGUUCGAAAGCGUGGGUAGCAAACAGGAUUAGAUACCCUGGUAGUCCACGCCGUAAACGAUGAGUGCUAAGUGUUGGAGGGUUUCCGCCCUUCAGUGCUGCAGCUAACGCAUUAAGCACUCCGCCUGGGGAGUACGGUCGCAAGACUGAAACUCAAAGGAAUUGACGGGGGCCCGCACAAGCGGUGGAGCAUGUGGUUUAAUUCGAAGCAACGCGAAGAA